AUGACCCGAGACGGCGUACAAUUUGACGCCGCGAAACGAUCAUAUCGGAAUGCUAAGGCCGAGGGGAACCGGCACGAGGAAGCCAAAUGGGCCAAUGUAAUCGGCAAUAUUUUGAAGAACAGAGGAGAAUACGUAAAAGCCCUCAAGUGGUUUCGGAUCGAUUACGAUGUGUCGGUUAAGUACUUACCUCAGAAGCAUAUGCUGGCAACGUGCCAGUCCCUGGGCGAGGUCUAUCUUAGGCUCGAACACUUUAAAGAUGCUUUAAUUUAUCAGAAGAAACAUUUAGAGCUAGCCAAAAAUGCUAAUGACCUGGUGGAACAGCAAAGAGCUAACACUCAACUGGGUCGUACUUACCAUGAACUAUUUUUGAAAUCUGAUGAUGACCAUUUUUCAGUAAGAAAUGCCAAAAAGUAUUUCAAGGCUGCCAUGGAACUAGCAAAGUUUCUGAAAGAUCACCCACCAAAAAUUGGAUGUUCAUUUCUCAAGGAAUAUAUUGAUGCUCAUAAUAAUUUGGGAAUGCUUGAUAUGGAUCUUGAUAAUUUGGAAGAGGCCAAAAAGAUCUUAAUGAAAGGACUAGAGAUUUGCGAGGAAGAAGAGGUGGAUGAGGAUGAUGAUGGUCGUAGCAGGCUCCAUCACAACCUUGGAAGUGUAUAUAUGGAGCUAAGAAUGUGGGACCAAGCUAAGAAGCAUGUUGAGAAGGAUAUUAUAAUCUGUAAGAAUAUUGGGCAUUGCCAAGGAGAGGCUAAAGGAUACAUUAACCUUGGUGAACUGCAUUACAGGGUUCAAAAGUAUGAUGAAGCAAUUCAUUGCUAUCGGAAGGCUCUUCAUUUGGCAAAAUCAAUGGAAGAUGAGGAUGCUUUGGCUAGGCAAAUUGAUCAGAAUAUCAACACUGUUAAAGAAGCAGUACAAGUGAUGGCUGAACUAAGAAAAGAAGAGCAGAAUCUUAAGAAGCUAACGAGAGAAAUGCUUACUGCUAGAGGCACACCUCGUGAGCGCAAAUGCCUACUGCAGCAAAAUGCUUGUCUUGAUUGCUUAAUUGAAAAAUCAAGUACGAUUUUUGCAUGGAUGCAGCAUCUUGAAUUUGCAAAAAGGAAGAAAAGGGUAGCAAGUGAACUUUGUGACAAGGAAAAGCUGAGUGAUUCUUAUCUGGCUAUUGGGGAAUCAUAUCAAAAACUAAGAAAAUUCACAAAAUCCAUUAAAUGGUAUGUGAAGAGCUGGGAAGUAUACAAGUCUAUUGGUAAUUUAGAGGGACAAGCACUGGCCAAGAUUAAUAUUGGUGAUGUUUACGACUGUGAUGGUAAGUGGACAGAGGCACUAGAUGCAUUUGAGGAGAGUUACAGGAUUGCUGUUGAGGCUAAACUUCCUUCCGUCCAGCUUUCAGCACUGGAGAAUAUGCAUUAUAGCCACAUGAUACGAUUUGAUAAUGUAGAGGAAGCUAGGCGGUUACAGUCUCAAAUUGAUCAAUUGAAGGAGAAAACAAAAAGUGGUAAUGAGACAAAAUCUGUGGCGGAGGAUUGUUGCUCUGAAACUGAUACAGAAGCAAAUGAGGGUCUGUCAGAUAGUCCAUCCGACGAGUGCUCCUUGUCAGAAACUAGAAAAUCUUGUAAAGGCACAUUUCAUUCUUCAAAAUCUUUAUCCGAUUUAGAAGAGCCAAAUGACGCAGUUAUUUUUACUUCUUCCCUCAAGCGGCAUGAAAGGUCACCUAAAAUCAAAUCAGUUGACAUGGAAAAAUGCAAUGCUUUUUCUAACCCAUCUGAAAUUUCACCUAAAAGUUUGUCCAAGUCAGCUGGUAGCCAACAAACAACCAUUGGUCGUAAACGUGUUCGUGUGAUUAUUUCUGAUGAUGAUGAAAGUGAGGAUGAAAUGAUGGAUUUCUCGAAAUCAAGGCCUCAUUUAUGCCGGGGAGAAAAUUCUGCUACUUCUGAUGACAACAAGGAUAAACAAUGCUUGGGAAAUCUUGCAGCUGAAAUUAAGGAGGGUUCAACAACAACCAGCAAACAUGCAAGCAGGUCUUGUGAAGACAUUGAAGAAAGCACCGGUUCACAUAAAUACAAGAGUCGAAUCAUCGUGACUCAAAAUGAUAAAAUUUUUGGAACCCCAAAUGCUGAUGAAAUAUUUCCUUCUGAUUCUGCUGCUAGUGGCUCAAAAUUUGAAGUUAACAUCUCUGAAAAUCUGUUGCAUAAAUAUAAUGCUACCAAGUCAAAUCCUUCUGAGCAGGGUGAAUGUGUUACGUUUAAAAUUGAUAAUGAGCUGAUACACGCAGAGGUUUCCUUAUUUAGCGAUAUGCUAAGCAUUGAAUCUGCAAAGGAAGAACUAGCAUGCAUGUACUAUCUACAACUUCCAUUUGAAAAGAGAUCAGAGGGUCUGUUACCUGUGAUUCAACAUAUAAGUCAUGAUGGGAAAACUCUGGAGACCCUUGAAUUUUCAAGAACCUAUGAACAUGGAAGAAAUCUUUUGUUUGAAGCUGUCGUCAACGGCUGGGUUUCAAAACCCUUGAUAAAACUCUAUAUUGACUACUGCAAGGAGUUAUCCGAGACACCUAACAUGAAGCUACUGAAGAAACUGUACAAUCUGGAGGCUUCAGAUGACGAGAUUGCAGUGUCUGAUUGUGAUCUGCAAGACUUAUCUAUAAGUCCAUUGUUGAAUGCGCUGCACACCCAGAAAACUUUUGCUAUCUUAGACAUUUCUCACAAUUUCUUAGGAAAUGGAACGAUGGAGAAAAUUCAGCAGGUCUUCAAGCAGUCCAGCCAGACACAUGACUUAACGUUAGAUUUACACUGCAAUCGAUUUGGUCCAACUGCUUUAUUCCAGAUUUGUGAAUGCCCUAUUCUGUUUGCUCGAUUGGAAGUGCUUAACAUAUCUGGAAAUCGCCUUACUGAUGCUUGUGGGUCAUACCUGUCAACUAUCUUAAAAAAUUGCAAAGGUCUUUGGAGCUUGAACAUUGAACGAUGUUCCAUCACAUCUAGAACUAUUCAGAAGGUUGCUGAUGCAUUGGAAGUUGGAGCAUCCUUGGAAAAGCUCUAUAUAGGAUACAAUAACUCAAUCUCUGGAAAUGCCCUAAGUAGUUUAUUUGUUAAGCUCACAGUACUGAAUAGGUUUACAAGUCUUAGUCUAAGCGGUUUGAAGUUGAGCAAGCCUGUUAUGGAAGGCCUUCUCCAGCUUGUUAAAUCCUUGGGUUUGUCUGGAUUAAUGCUUGGGGGCACUGGCAUUGGAGAUGAUGCUGCCUUAGGGAUAACUGAGUCAUUUAGCGGAAGUGAAGAGCUUCUGAAACUUGACUUAGCUUAUUGUGGACUGACAUCCAAGUACCUUACUAAAUUUUGUGGUUGCAUUUCUAUUAUUCAGCGCAUUCAUGAGCUGAACCUUGCUGGGAAUGCCAUCAUGCAAGAGGGUUGUAAUGCAAUAUCGUCACUAAUAGCUAACCACCAAUGCGGCAUUAAAGUCUUGCUUCUCAACAAGUGUCAGCUUGGCCUUGCUGGAGUUGUUCAAAUCAUUCAGGCUGUAGCAGGCAACCACUGUCUUGAAGAGCUCAAUCUUGCUGAUAACAUUGAUCUUGAUAAACAUACUCUGCAAUGUAACAUAAUAGAGAGAGAAAGUAAAGAACUUAUACAACCGUGCCAUGAUAUAUCUAAGCCUCAUGGCCUAACCUGUUCAAUCAAAGAGUUGGACCCUGCUCAACAGACUUUAGAGGAGGUAAACACUGAAUACAAUGGGCUUGAAGUUGCUGAUAGUGAAGAACCAAUUAAAGAAUCUGCAGCAUCUAGGAUCGAUGAUAGUUGUGCAAGUUCAUGUGAAAGAAAAUCCGCAUCUCUUGAUUGCCAGUUUAUUCUAUCACUUUCAACUGCAAUUGGAAUGGCAAAGACAUUGCGAUUACUGGAUCUUAGCAAUAAUGGUUUUUCUGCUCAAGAGACGGAAACAAUAUUCGGUGCCUGGUCAACUUCGAGAACCGAUUUGGCCCAAAGACAUAUUAAGGACAACAUAGUACAUCUAUAUGUAAAGGGAACGAAGUGUUGUGUGAGACCCUGCUGCAAGAAGGAUUAAUGUGAUGCUGCUGAAAUCUGUUAUAUCAGAAUCCUUCUAUGAAUAGCGGGCGGCAAGAUGGCAAGGAUUGAAGAGGGAGCCUAAAAUUACUUUGAUGAGCACAAGUCACGGGUGGACUGAUUUAUGGGAGGUGGAGGAAAGUAUUCUUUAACGUUAGAACAAAAAAAAUGUAGUUCCUAUGUUUUUAUCUCUAUUUUUUUACAUUAAAAAUUAUCAAGCAAUCUACAGACAUGCUUUCUCAGUUGAGGUCUACAAAACGUGAGGGGGAAAAAAAAACAAGUAGAGGAAUUGGAUAAUUUGAACUCAUUCAAAGAUAUUUCUUAACUAUAUUUAUCGACUUGAACAUAACUCAACAAGUUAAAAUAUUAAUUAUGUCCUCAACUAAUAAGUCGGUUAAAUCAUUAAAAAAAAGGAUAGAAUGAUAAACCCCCAAGCAUAGAGUAUGUAUAAAUGGAAAUUGAUUUUGCUGUUAUGACCAAAUUUAAAGAAACUUGUCCAAUUAAUCUCAUAAAGAAUAGUAUAAAGAAAUCAAAAUUUGUUAACGAGGAAUUUAAAAGUGGAUUUAAGGUGCAAUAGUUGUGUAAUCCAUUGAAAUCAAAUAUUGUUGUGGGGGUAUAAUAAUUUAAUAAUGGCAAAGGGGAGAGUUGUUGGCAUGCUUCUCAACAAAUUGCAGUGGGAUUCCUUUUGCUCAUUUAAUUCAAUUGUUGUCCCUUCUUCAGGAACCUCUUGCCCUAAACUUUUGCUUGCUUUACCAUUUUAUAAUUGCCUUUAUAUCUUUUAGUUUCGUGUGGUAAAUGAUGCUUCCCUCCACAUUCCUUAGCACGUGUAAUGAAUAUCACUAACAUUUUGAUUUGGCCUUUUUUUUCCUCUUAUAAAACAUUAAAAAAAAAACACUAAGUACAUGUACAUUGGAUCACCUACUUCAAUUGAAUAUCUUCUUGUAUUUUCUUUUUGAUUAAGUUAUAUAUUUCAUCUUUAUAUUUUUAUGUGUUUGUUUCCAUUCUUGUUUAUACAUUUUAAGUUUCCAAUUUCCACCAUGUAUUUUAUUUUUAUUAAUUUAUG
Benincasa hispida (wax gourd) is the source of this 5100-nucleotide non-coding RNA. The record is from RefSeq and is a predicted model, not a curated record. Lineage: Eukaryota; Viridiplantae; Streptophyta; Magnoliopsida; Cucurbitales; Cucurbitaceae.